GUGGUCACUUCAACUGCAAAUAAACCAAAAAGGGAACAAUACAGAGAAUAUUAGCAUGGCCCCUGCUGAAUGAUAACACGCAAAUUGUGCUCACUUUG
This is a non-coding RNA of Canis lupus familiaris (dog), 98 nucleotides long. The record is from Rfam. NCBI's taxonomy places the organism in Eukaryota, Metazoa, Chordata, Mammalia, Carnivora, Canidae.